RNAcentral lists this ribosomal RNA (253 nucleotides) under uncultured bacterium. RNAcentral describes it as "partial 16S ribosomal RNA". It matches the Rfam family "Bacterial small subunit ribosomal RNA", at positions 524 to 776 of the family's 1533-position model. The record is from RNAcentral.
UACGAAGGGGGCGAGCGUUGUUCGGAUUUACUGGGCGUAAAGGGCGCGUAGGCGGCGGGUCAAGUCGAGUGUGAAAGCCCCGGGCUCAACCUGGGAAUUGCGCUCGAGACUGGUCUGCUUGAGUUCGGGAGAGGAGAGUGGAAUUCCCAGUGUAGAGGUGAAAUUCGUAGAUAUUGGGAGGAACACCGGUGGCGAAGGCGGCUCUCUGGACCGAGACUGACGCUGAGGCGCGAAAGCGUGGGGAGCAAACAGG